GCCUGAGAAAGGUUAAAUAAUUUUCCAGGAUUACACAGUUAGUAGUGCUGGAACCUAACUCCUAUCUGCCUAGUUUCAGAAUUCCCCACAGCACAUCUAACAGGGUGAUGGGAAAAUAGGUGAAAGUCAAAAGACUGUAUUCUGGCUUGGCUUCACAACCAAGUGCAUGGACUUAUGAAAUUUUAUUCUUUCCAGCAUCUAUCAUCAUGUGCACACUGUUUGCUCACAUUUUAUCCUCCAGAUAAACUUGAAAUGGGUCCUCUUUACAGCCCUGCUGCCAAAGUUUUAACCACAGUGAGAGUCCUAAGGAUGUCAAGGAAAACUCAAAGCAGCAGUAAUCAGUUAUAGAAGAUUUGGAGGUUUGGUGCAAAGUUCACACUCUGAAAGUGAACAUUCAGGCACUGUGUCAGAAACUGGGAAUAAAACCACGAACAAGAGUCUGCUCUUAAGCAACUGACAUCUAAUCUGUGUUUUAGCAGAAGGGGUGCCCAGAAGUCAAAGUCCAGACAUUUAAAAGCCCAAAACUGUUGUCUUAACACAAUUCUGAAGAACUAUCAUGGUUCCAGAGCUUCUCAGAAGGUUGUCUGAGGUCUCAGUUAAACUGCGUGGCAGUUCAGAAAACACCAGCGGUCAUAGGACUUGUCCCAUCAUCUGCACAAGGCUGGUGAAUGGCUCAGGUAGAAUGAAAACUGACAACCCAGACCACUUAAUCUGUGGAGAGUCCAGGGGCCAGACACAAUGAGGAUAAGCACUGCAAGGAAGACGAUCGCAAACCAGCCUCUGGAAAACCCAUCCAUACACGCUGCAAGUUCUCUUUUUAUAGACUGAAAUGGAAGUGUAUUUAUUUGGUUUUCUAUAUAAAUUUUCCUUGGAACUGAGGGCUUAUUCACUUCAUUACCUCCAGCAGACUUAUAGUGAGAAUAGAAUUUGUCAACAAUUACUUAAUAUGGAAACUUGGCAAUGUAGAAAAUGAUUUUACAUUCUUAAACUUGAACAAGGACAUUCAGACAGCAGAAAAACUAAUUAGUUUAACCCUUGGUAACAGAAUAACUGACUUGAUUAGGAAUUGAGCAUGGGUGUAGCAAUGCUUAGUUGUACUGAUUCACAAGAGCAGAGCCUAUUGUUAAAAUUUCAGAAAUUCUGCAAACUUGUUGAUGCCAUAGAGUCUUUGUUAAAAAUUUAAUUAUGUAGACUCAUAAUUAAAUAAAUUACAUCAAAAACAAAGCUAAAAUAGUUGUUAUUUCUUCAUGAUGUCCUACAUUUUAUUAUCUAUACUUUGAGGUUAUUUAUAUUUACUAUAUCUGCUCAGUGAAAAUACUAUGUAAUGAUGUGCUGCUGCACAUCUUCUCCCAACUCCACAUUCAGUCAUGUCACGUUAGUAGAUUGAAAUUGGCUAUAGUUGGUGUAUUUACACCAUGGAAAUCAGCAAACACUAAAAAUCAUGGCUGGAUGUAUUGUUUCUUGAUUGCUUAGACUUAAGAAAGUGAUGGAGCAAAUGUUGAUAGUGCAGAUUAAGGCUUAAAAUGUGUUGUAUCUGUUGCAUUGUGAAUAGUACAAAGAAUUGACAAAAUGUUAGUAUUUAAAAGCUAUUAUUUCAUUUAUAAAAGAAUACAUCAUUGCCAAACACAAGUUCCUAGAUCUCUAUACAUUGUUUUCUCAAGAAUCAGUUGUUAAACAUUUACCAGCACAUAACUGAACUAGGAAUGCUUUGAUUUUUAAUAGGCUCCCAAAUUAAUUUUUGUAAUUUUAUGUAUGUAGAUUACCUAAUUUGGUAGAAUGAUUUGGUGUCACUGAAACCUGAAGAUUGGGCCAAUGAUUACAUUAGAGGGUGACAAUGAUAUAACAGAAUUUUUGCAAUGUAAUUAUAAUGCCUGAGAGACUUAUUUUAUUCACAGUAUAGCUGCAUAUACAUAAGUUAUAGUUAUUUUGGAGAAAAGAAAAAAAAUAAUUCCUAAGACCACUAUUUUCUUUUAAACGAAGUGUGUCUUGUUAAAGAAACGGAUCUGUGAAUCUGAGGA
This 2018-nucleotide long non-coding RNA is filed under the name Callithrix jacchus (white-tufted-ear marmoset). RNAcentral's name for it is "lncRNA (ENSCJAG00000081628.1)". The record is from RNAcentral. Lineage: Eukaryota; Metazoa; Chordata; Mammalia; Primates; Cebidae.